Molecule: ribosomal RNA, 307 nt
Filed under: uncultured Lactobacillus sp.
Lineage: Bacteria; Bacillati; Bacillota; Bacilli; Lactobacillales; Lactobacillaceae
Description: bacterial SSU rRNA
Rfam family: Bacterial small subunit ribosomal RNA
Source: RNAcentral
GCGGUGCAUUAGCUAGUUGGGUAAAGGUAAAAGGGCUUACCAAGGCGAUGAUGCAUAGCCGAGUUGAGAGACUGAUCGGCCACAUUGGGACUGAGACACGGCCCAAACUCCUACGGGAGGCAGCAGUAGGGAAUCUUCCACAAUGGACGCAAGUCUGAUGGAGCAACGCCGCGUGAGUGAAGAAGGUUUUCGGAUCGUAAAGCUCUGUUGUUGGUGAAGAAGGAUAGAGGUAGUAACUGGCCUUUAUUUGACGGUAAUCAACCAGAAAAGUCACGGGCUAACUACGUGCCAGCAGCCGCGGGUAAAU